GACAGCAGCAGCCACGGGAAUACGUAGGGUGCAAGCGUUAAUCGGAAUUACUGGGCGUAAAGCGUGCGCAGGCGGUUUGUUAAGACAGAUGUGAAAUCCCCGGGCUCAACCUGGGAACUGCAUUUGUGACUGGCAAGCUAGAGUCUGGCAGAGGGGGGUGGAAUUCCGCGUGUAGCAGUGAAAUGCGUAGAUAUGCGGAGGAACACCGAUGGCGAAGGCGGCCAUCUGGGACAACACUGACGCUGAGGCACGAAAGCGUGGGGAGCAAACAGGAUUAGAUACCCCCGUAGUCCCUGUCUCUUAUAC
RNAcentral lists this ribosomal RNA (306 nucleotides) under uncultured bacterium. RNAcentral's name for it is "partial 16S ribosomal RNA". It matches the Rfam family "Bacterial small subunit ribosomal RNA", at positions 507 to 807 of the family's 1533-position model. The record is from RNAcentral.